UUGUAUUCACUUUGAAUUAUAAUAAACUCAUCACGAUGAAGAACGUAGCGAAAUGCGAUACUUAGUGUGAAUUGCAGAAUCUCGUGAAUUGUCGAGUUUUUGAACGCAAUUUGCGCUCGAGGCCUCGGUCGAGGGCACGUCUGUCUGGGUGUCA
This is a non-coding RNA of Picea glauca (white spruce), 154 nucleotides long. NCBI's taxonomy places the organism in Eukaryota, Viridiplantae, Streptophyta, Pinopsida, Pinales, Pinaceae. The record is from Rfam.